Mercenaria mercenaria is the source of this 285-nucleotide long non-coding RNA. RefSeq lists it as uncharacterized. Lineage: Eukaryota; Metazoa; Mollusca; Bivalvia; Venerida; Veneridae. The record is from RefSeq and is a predicted model, not a curated record. The transcript is spliced from 2 exons.
AUUUCAUCGCAGACCCUAUGUCUUCUCAUGGUUCAAGGAUGUUUUGGAGUUUCAGUUGUCAUGACAACACAUACCGGUUGUAACUGCUGUGAUGAUAACGUCAUCUGCGACGAUUUAUUCGUAAAUGUAAUUGUUUUAGUCUGGUUCUUUUUGCGGCAUGGGAAACGUUAUUUAAACGUUAGUUUAUUAAAAUUAGAAACUUUGCGUCUUGCGAACCCAAAGAGUUUGACGGAUUUGUGAUGUGACCAAAUGAUAGAUUCUGAAUGAUUAAACAUCAUAAAAUUC